Molecule: long non-coding RNA, 700 nt
Filed under: Cricetulus griseus (Chinese hamster)
Lineage: Eukaryota; Metazoa; Chordata; Mammalia; Rodentia; Cricetidae
Description: lncRNA (ENSCGRG00015033923.1)
Source: RNAcentral
UAAGAAUCAAACUCUGGUCAUCAAGCAUGGUAGCAUGUGUCUUUAUACACUAAACUAUUUUGGCAGCCCAAGACAAAAUUUAAAUUAUUCCCAAUAGGUUAUCCAAUAUCAAAUGGUUAUUCUUGAAAUCCUGAAGAAUCGUGAAGAAGUAGGCUGGAAGGUCAGUGAAGGAAUGGACCAGCUGGCAAGACUCUUAAAGGAUUAGUAGAAAGCCAGGAUACUUUUAAUUUGGCCUCAGCUGUCCAUCAUACAGUUGGCUGAGAAUGGUCCCUGUUACUGGUCCAGGACUCUAUCGCCGACAUCAUUGGCCAGCAUGGCUAAGGGAGUAAACUCCUGAAGAUUGCUCAUGGUGAUGGGAAGAAGGAAUGGGAUAGCAAAUAGCAAUGGGUGCUUUUCUUGGAGUCAGUCCAGCACUCUGGAGACCAGACCUUUGAGAAUGUUACUGGGAUAAGCAUCCAAAUCAAAUUCCAUGCAUCUAUUCUUGGUGAGUAGAACUAUUUAAAAUAUUACUUUGUUUGUUUGCUUAUCUGUAAUGUUUUUAUCGGUAAUCACAAAUUUCUGGUCACUCAUAAAGGAAAUUCAAAGAACUGAUCUUCGUGUUUUAUGUUUUUAUGAUUAAAAAGGAGAAAGAAAGGCUAGGGAACAUAACCCAGUUGGUAGUGUGAUCCGAUAGCAUGCUUGAACCCUCAGCUCUGCCUAG